AGCGUAACUGUCUUCUGGAACUCCAACGGCAUUUGCUUGGCUCUCUCAAUUGUUGUUGCAAUUGAAUGUAACGUAAGAGUGCGAGUGCGAGUGCGAGUGCGAGUGUCGGCUUGAGUGUGAAUGUGAGUAUGAGUAGGCUAUGCCUCGGCCUCUCAGUGUUUGGCAAAAACGAUCGCAGCGCCAAUGUGGAACCGGCGUGACGCUGGCGUCACCGAUACCUCUGGCUAGCCUAUAAAAGCAGCGCAUUUAGUGUGUGUUUCUUUUCAGAGCGAGCUCAGUGUUAAUUUCACAGCGGAGUUGGCCAGCAGCGAGUGCGUUACCAGACCCGAACCAACCAGUUACCACGUCAAACUCAAAGACAAUACCACACAGGCAAUUAAAUAAACGAACAACAACAACGACAACGACAACGACAACGACCUGUGCAUAUCGUACAAAACUCAUAGACGGAAAUU
This is a long non-coding RNA of Drosophila navojoa, 455 nucleotides long. The record is from RefSeq and is a predicted model, not a curated record. NCBI's taxonomy places the organism in Eukaryota, Metazoa, Arthropoda, Insecta, Diptera, Drosophilidae.